RNAcentral lists this ribosomal RNA (253 nucleotides) under uncultured bacterium. RNAcentral describes it as "partial 16S ribosomal RNA". It matches the Rfam family "Bacterial small subunit ribosomal RNA", at positions 524 to 776 of the family's 1533-position model. The record is from RNAcentral.
UACGUAGGCAGCAAGCGUUGUUCGGAAUUACUGGGCGUAACGAGCGCGCAGGCGGUCGUUCAAGUCGCGUGUGAAAGCCCCCGGCUCAACUGGGGAGGGUCACGCGAUACUGAUCGACUCGAAGGCAGGAGAGGGAAGUGGAAUUCCCGGUGUAGUGGUGAAAUGCGUAGAUAUCGGGAGGAACACCAGUGGCGAAGGCAGGUCUCUGGGCCACUACUGACGCUGAGGAGCGAAAGCAUGGGGAGCGAACAGG